Molecule: ribosomal RNA, 253 nt
Filed under: uncultured bacterium
Lineage: Bacteria
Description: partial 16S ribosomal RNA
Rfam family: Bacterial small subunit ribosomal RNA
Source: RNAcentral
UACGGGGGGGGUAAGCGUUGUUCGGAAUUACUGGGCGUAAAGGGCUCGUAGGCGGCCAACUAAGUCAGACGUGAAAUCCCUCAGCUUAACUGGGGAACUGCGUCUGAUACUGGAUGGCUUGGAUUCGGGAGAGGAAUGCGGAAUUCCAGGUGUAGCGGUGAAAUGCGUAGAUAUCUGGAGGAACACCGGUGGCGAAGGCGGCAUCCUGGACCGUGACUGACGCUGAGGAGCGAAAGCCAGGGGAGCAAACGGG